Molecule: ribosomal RNA, 253 nt
Filed under: uncultured bacterium
Lineage: Bacteria
Description: partial 16S ribosomal RNA
Rfam family: Bacterial small subunit ribosomal RNA
Source: RNAcentral
UACGUAGGGGGCAAGCGUUGUCCGGAAUCAUUGGGCGUAAAGCGUGCGCCGGCUGCUUUGCAAGACAGAUGUGAAAUCCCCGGGCUUAACCUGGGAACUGCAUUUGUGACUGCAUGGCUGGAGUGCGGGAGAGGGGGAUGGAAUUCCGCGUGUAGCAGUGAAAUGCGUAGAUAUGCGGAGGAACACCGAUGGCGAAGGCAAUCCACUGGGCCUGCACUGACGCUCAUGCACGAAAGCGUGGGGAGCAAACAGG